GCCUCGGGACCUGCUUUUGAAAAGGAGAGGUCGACCUGGGAGAGCCGCUGAACGAGAUACUCUUCGGAAUCGGUAACUGCUUAUGGCAGGCGGUGAGAGAGUGGGGGUGAUACAGUGUGGAACCUGCGUCCCCCCAAAACAUAAUGUCAACACUUUCAAAUUGCUUUCCGAGAUCCCGAAUUUUAGGGGGUGCAUCUUCCAGGGGGGGCCUGGGAGCUUACCUGUUUUGUUUACCCGCCCAAGUGCCUAAUGCAGAGUAGUUACCUAAUAAAUAUUUGCCAUGCGGAUGACUGCACAGCCGAAUGAGCCCCGUUCCAUCAUAGGGAUGUAGGAGGAUUUGCGGAGCCAAGCCCCACCUGGGAGGCACCUAAGUCCUUGCCAGUUUUUCUCAAUUAUGGCUCUGCAACGAAUAUCCUCUGUGCAUAAAUCCUUGACUGCAUCUCUUGAUUAUUUCCUCAGGAUAUUUUCCUCGAAGUGGGAUUACUGGGUUGAAGGGUAUGCACAUAUGUAAGGCUCUUGAUUCAGAGUCCCUCCAGCCGCGCCAGAAUGAGUCAGCUUCCCAGCAAGCUGGCCAAAACUCGGUAUCAUCGGCCUUCAUUUUUAUUUCUCUGUCUUUUUUCUUUGCCAUCUUGAUAAGAUAAAAAUGAUAUCCCAUUUUAUUUGCAUUUCUUUGUGGACUAAUUAGGUGGAGAUUGGACUAACUUUAAAGAAAUAUUCUUAAGGAGCACCGAGAAAUCCUGUGUGGAAAAGGAGACCGUGACACCAGGCACAUUCUGCCCAGUGAGGUGAAACCAAAGGGCUCCAAUGGUCUGGUGUGAUUUGACCAGAAGAUGUAAACACAUUUGAGCCUUGCUCCAGAGGCUUCCCCUGAGCAAGGGAGGGGAAGCUGUGACUUACUAGCUUCCCUAUGUUUGUUAUUUUUUGUUAUUUUCAUUUCCUGAUGAGGAGUAAAUGUUUCAUAAAGCAAAUGAAAACCCUGUGUAAUUAUCUUUAAGGACAGCAAGAAAAAGUAGAAGUGGGAAAACUAGUUCACUUUAACGUCAUGGGAAAGGGGAGGGGGGAGGGGUGAAGUUUGAAGCCUGUUUCCAGGCGGUGGGAGGGAAGUCCCUGAAGAUGGGGCUGGCAGUGGGGCGGGGAGGGAGUGAGCAAGAGGCUUCCCAGGGCUCUGGAGACUUCCUUCUGGAAAGGCUGCUGUGUGUUUGUAGCGCUUAUGAGGCCUGUGGUCCCUGGGGACCUGGAAGGGGCGUUUAAUGGACUUUUGAGGAUCAAAGUCAGAUUGCCAGGGACAAAGGAAGGUUGUGAGGAAAUGGAGGCCACUGCAUCUCCGGCCGUGCUCCGGGAAUGGGGAGAAGGUACCUGUGGCAUUUUCCCCGGAUAACGGGAGAUGGUGGUCCCUAGAGCUUUUGUGGGCUAUGAAACGGUCUUAGCUCAGGUACUAUGACAGGCAGCUUCUGAGGUGGCCCCCACUGAUCCCUGGCUCCUCAUAUCCAGCCCUUGGGAUUCUGAAGAAAGGAAUGUGGCAGAAGCUGCCUUGUUGUGAACUGCUCUGUGAUGAAGGCCAUGUGACAAGGAGCAGAGUGAAGCCUCCGGCCAAAAACCUGUGAGGAACUGAAUCCUUCCAGCAAUGAUGUGAGCGAGCUUGGCACAGGGGUCCCCCCACCAAGCUGGGCCUUCAGAUGAGAUGGCCGCCCCAGCAGUCAGCAUUAACCGCAACCUCAUGGAAGACCUUCAGCCACGAGAGGCAGCCAGUUAAGUCAUGCCUGGAUUCCUGACCCAAAAAAAAA
Long non-coding RNA from Lynx canadensis (Canada lynx), 1784 nucleotides. RefSeq lists it as uncharacterized. NCBI's taxonomy places the organism in Eukaryota, Metazoa, Chordata, Mammalia, Carnivora, Felidae. The record is from RefSeq and is a predicted model, not a curated record. The transcript has 2 exons.